GAUGGUUUGGCCGAGUCUAAGGCGCCAGAUUUAGGCUCUGGUCCGAAAGGGCGUGGGUUCAAAUCCCACAAUGUUUA
RNAcentral lists this transfer RNA (77 nucleotides) under Ipomoea nil (Japanese morning glory). It matches the Rfam family "tRNA". From Rfam's summary of the family: Transfer RNA (tRNA) molecules are approximately 80 nucleotides in length. Their secondary structure includes four short double-helical elements and three loops (D, anti-codon, and T loops). Lineage: Eukaryota; Viridiplantae; Streptophyta; Magnoliopsida; Solanales; Convolvulaceae. The record is from Rfam by way of RNAcentral.